This is a long non-coding RNA of Daphnia carinata, 720 nucleotides long. RefSeq lists it as uncharacterized. The transcript is spliced from 4 exons. NCBI's taxonomy places the organism in Eukaryota, Metazoa, Arthropoda, Branchiopoda, Diplostraca, Daphniidae. The record is from RefSeq and is a predicted model, not a curated record.
ACAGUACAGGAACCAAUGGACGAACCGAGGGCAUUGCUUUUACUCAAUCUGGAUGUCAGCGACUCGUACACGACGAUGGUCGGGAAGAAAAAGAAGAGGAAAACAAACAGCUACAACGAGACGUUGGUGGAAAAUAAAAAUUGGCAACUUACCUCAAGAACGAGGGUGGCUUGGAAGAGCGCAAACAGAAUCAUCUUGUUUGAAGGCACGCCAGCAAAUGAUCACGAGGAUGCAUUCGAACUAGGUCAUUGCCGGCCCAACAGGUUUCGCGCGCUUGUGCUGAUGAACGCUGCGUGUUUUGUUACACCGCUGUGAAAGACAAGUAACAAUGCCACUUGUACCUUUCUUUAAGUCAUCAAGAGAUAGAACGACCAUCUCCCUCGUGCAAUGUGCAGGUCACAUCAUAACUCUUAUCAUCGUAAGAAGAAAUAACGGUAUUUGGAGCCUAACGGUCAAUGACUUGCCCUAUGUUCUAGAGAAAUCUUUUACAUCUAGUUGAAACAUGUCUACAGUGCUGCCUCUUUUUAUGACUAGGCGCGACAUUCAAACCAUCCGAGGCCUUAUUCAUUAGGCCGUGGAGGCUCAUUGGCUAAUUACAUCCAUCGGAUGGAACACGGCGAAAAGUAAUCGAGAACAAGGAAUAAAAUUUAAGAAUUGUAUUUGAACGAUUGCAGCAAUGUCAAAUGGACACAACAUACGACAAAUGGAGAAUUCAUUGAA